Long non-coding RNA from Dermacentor andersoni, 305 nucleotides. RefSeq lists it as uncharacterized. The record is from RefSeq and is a predicted model, not a curated record. NCBI's taxonomy places the organism in Eukaryota, Metazoa, Arthropoda, Arachnida, Ixodida, Ixodidae.
AGCAGCAGCCUUUUCGACGUUCCCUUCAGUGGACUUGGAAGCACCGAACGAGCACGGAUGCUGAUCAAAUUUUUUCUGAUCGCACAGAGUUCAUCACUUGUGCAUGUGCAACAUAUUGGCGGAGGCAAUACGAACUGCAUUUCUCACUAGCUGGACAAGUCGGAAUGGCAAUGCACCUUGGAGAACAAGACUCGAAUUGUGAAAGUCUGGUGGUUUCACAGAACUUUGUUUUAUGACAAGAUGGGCUGACACCAUGUCACCUGAUGCUGUCACUCUCUGGUAAGCAUGUUAAAAAAAUAAAAACA